AGCCUUGUGGUGUAAUACAUAUCGGGUUGCAAAUCUGGAGAUGCAGUAUAAUAUUCUGCCGGGGCUU
RNAcentral lists this transfer RNA (67 nucleotides) under Hampala macrolepidota (Hampala barb). RNAcentral describes it as "tRNA-Cys". It matches the Rfam family "tRNA". From Rfam's summary of the family: Transfer RNA (tRNA) molecules are approximately 80 nucleotides in length. Their secondary structure includes four short double-helical elements and three loops (D, anti-codon, and T loops). Further hydrogen bonds mediate the characteristic L-shaped molecular structure. tRNAs have two regions of fundamental functional importance: the anti-codon, which is responsible for specific mRNA codon recognition, and the 3' end, to which the tRNAs corresponding amino acid is attached (by aminoacyl-tRNA synthetases). tRNAs cope with the degeneracy of the genetic code in two manners: having more than one tRNA (with a specific anti-codon) for a particular amino acid; and 'wobble' base-pairing, i.e. permitting non-standard base-pairing at the 3rd anti-codon position. The record is from RNAcentral. Lineage: Eukaryota; Metazoa; Chordata; Actinopteri; Cypriniformes; Cyprinidae.